Molecule: ribosomal RNA, 274 nt
Filed under: uncultured bacterium
Lineage: Bacteria
Description: partial 16S ribosomal RNA
Rfam family: Bacterial small subunit ribosomal RNA
Source: RNAcentral
AUACGUAGGGGGCUAGCGUUGUCCGGAUUUACUGGGCGUAAAGGGAGCGCAGGUGGCUGAGUUCGUCGAUGGUGCAAGCUCCAGGCUUAACUUGGAGAGGUCUGUCGAUACUGCUCGGCUUGAGGACGGUAGAGGAGCACGGAAUUCCUGGUGUAGUGGUGAAAUGCGUAGAUAUCAGGAGGAACACCGGUGGCGAAAGCGGUGCUCUGGGCCGUUUCUGACACUCAGGCUCGAAAGCGUGGGGAGCGAACCGGAUUAGAAACCCGAGUAGUCC